This 2020-nucleotide long non-coding RNA is filed under the name Brassica rapa (field mustard). Its description in RNAcentral is "long non-coding RNA (BRAP_LNC003466)". Lineage: Eukaryota; Viridiplantae; Streptophyta; Magnoliopsida; Brassicales; Brassicaceae. The record is from RNAcentral.
UUUGGUGUCUCCGGGCGAGAGGUCGCGAGCGACUUUGGUGUGUCGCUCCAACGGGUCGCUCUGGAUCGGGAGCGACCUUGGUAGGUCGCUCUGAGAGGUCGCUCCAGGCUUCGCUUCGUGUCGUCUCUCCAUAAAGACGCGAGCGACCUCGGGGUGUCGCUUUGGGAGGUCGCUCCGAGAGGGGUGUGAGAUGCGAGCGACUGCACGGGGUCGCUCUAGCUAGGUCGCUCUGAGAGGUGCUUUGGAGCGACCUCAUGACGUCGCUGCGGAACCUCGCUCCCAUGCUCUGCUCGUCCAAUGAUCACCUGUUUCACGUCCUUUAAGCUCCAAAUGCAUCCAAAUGUCCCCAAGAACUCCAUGUGGCACUCCAACACCUAAUGAGGACAAUGAAUGCAAAAUGCAACCUAGACAUGGCUAAAUCCUAAUCUAUAUGAUGAAAAUGCUAAUGGAUGAAUGGAUAAAACAAUGCAAAUAUGCAAGAUAUCAACUCCCCCAAACUUGUUCUUUUACUUGUCCACAAGUGAACUUUCUAGAACUCAUAGGGAGAGAGGUUGAAGGAGGGAGCACAUAGCCAAAAGAAACACAACUAGCACACUCUCUUAUUACACUCUAGCUUCUCUAGGCCUAUCUUAACUCUUUUUGUUCUUACACUCAUCAUCAAGCAUCCACACAUUCAAAUCAACCAACUCUCACAUUCAUUAAGCACAAAACAUCAGGUGAAUUCUUGCAAAUGGUCAGUUGGUCCAAGUCAUUUGGUUGGGUAAGGGAAGGCUUUUAUUCAAGUGAUUCAAGAGGUUCAAAACAUAUGAUCUUUAAGGUGGUUUACUCUCAAAACAAGUAGCCUUGACAUUGCACAUAAUAUAUCUAAGAAAGGGACCAACUCAUGCAUACAAUGCUCAAUCUCCAUUGUUCUACCCUUUUCCCAAACAUACAAAUCACACAAUCAUUUCCCAAUGUCAAACCCUACUCACAUCUCUCACCAAAAGAUCCUAAGAACUUUAACUCCUUCUCUUUGAAAUCUACAAGGGAUUUUUCACAACCUCAAAACAUUUCUUAGCUCCUAACAACUUUGCUAGCCCCCCUUUUUCUUUUCUUUUUCUUUUUUUUUUUUUUCGAUUUCUUUUUUUUUUUAUAUUUUUUUUUUUUUUUUUAGGUUGGGGGCCAAGACUUUUCAAAACUAGAGCUAGAGGUUCUCUACUUAUCCCAGAAAAUCGAUUCACUUAAGCACAAAGAGUCUAUCCUUUUUAUUUUUCAUUUCUCCCAAAUCAUGAUCACAACACUCACCCUCCCACCUAUAGCUAGACAAAAGAGUGUCCAAUCUAGCAAAAAUGAAGAUCAAGCAUUGUCGUUCCCGAUACUCUCAACAUUAUGCGCAUGUAAGACUUUCCGAAGAAGGCCUCACUCAUCAAACAAUGAAAGCUUAAAAGGAAGGAAAGGUUUUGGGAGUGGUCUACCACUAGAGUUUGUCAAAAAGAUUGGCAUAAAAGAUGUGACAACUCCAGUGUGUAUAGCCAUGACUCAGUACACAAGGGACCCUAAGCAAGAAGCAUUAAGUUCAUUCAUUUCUAAUAAGGUUGUAGUUGGCUUCAAAGACUGAGUUUCAGCAAUCAACAAGUUUCAGGAAGAGUUUUCAAGGCUCGAAACAUACAAGUCUUUUUGAGAGGUGCAAAAGCUAGUCAAGUGCAACGUAGUGUUCUUUACAAGGCAUUCAAAUCAUUGCUCCCAAUGCAAGUGAAUGCAACCUAUAUGCUCUAGACUCUCCUAAAAAUGCAAAUGAUGCAAACUAAAUGAUUGAUUUUUUUUUUUUAUCUAUGCAAAUAGGUAUGCCAUGCAUGACUCAAUGAAACAACAUCAAAGCAAACAUGAUCAAAUACUUGGUACCUCCCCCAAACUUGAGUGACACAGUCUCUGUGUCGUCAAGUAGAGAGAGAGAUACCGAAAAGAAGACUAAUAUGCAAAAAUGAAAUGGUAUAUACAAGGGAGUGUGGUGGGUUACCUUCUAUAGGGAAUGAGUAGAGGG